RNAcentral lists this ribosomal RNA (172 nucleotides) under uncultured rumen bacterium. RNAcentral describes it as "partial 16S ribosomal RNA". It matches the Rfam family "Bacterial small subunit ribosomal RNA", at positions 338 to 524 of the family's 1533-position model. The record is from RNAcentral.
CCUACGGGAGGCAGCAGUGGGGAAUAUUGGGCAAUGGGCGAAAGCCUGACCCAGCAACGCCGCGUGAAGGAAGAAGGCCUUCGGGUUGUAAACUUCUUUUAUCAGGGACGAACACAAUGACGGUACCUGAAGAAUAAGCCACGGCUAACUACGUGCCAGCAGCCGCGGUAAU